CUAAAGGAAAGAAAGCAGUUGACAAUACCCAACAAUAAGAGACAAUGCAAGUGCUUUAAAUUGGAAAUAGCCUGUAGUCUUCUGUGAUGACGAAUUUCUGCUGUACCAUGAAAGCACUGUGGAAGAGAGCCCUGCCAUCUAUGUAAAUACACUUAAAGAGCAGAAGAUCUUCUGCGCUCUCUUUGUAGUUGUGAACGUGCUGUGUGUGCAAGGCAGAAGGUUGUGACAUGUCAUAAACUUCUCUAAUUUCUGCGGUCUUUUUACAGUCAUGAAUAGCAGUCAAUCUCUCUAAGCAACCCAUUCUGGAUUUUGGUUUAAAACCACUACAUAUUUGAAGUUAGAAACAAGAGAUAUUUUAGUAUUCUACCUCUUUCAACAUGUACUUUCUGUCUUGAUUUAAGUCCAAGAACUUAGUAAUAUGGUAGGCAGAAACUCACCUGUCAGAGAAGUUUACUUUUUUGGACAAAUGUUAUGCUAGAAAUCAUGGGAUGAUUUCAGAUAUUUUCAUCAUUAAAAGAAAUGUUGGAGUAAACCAUGGACAUGUGGACAUGAACUGAUGUGAAGUGAAUAGAUUGCAGACAAAAUUCUUCUCUCAUCUGGAGUAGA
This 606-nucleotide long non-coding RNA is filed under the name Gallus gallus (chicken). The record is from RNAcentral. Lineage: Eukaryota; Metazoa; Chordata; Aves; Galliformes; Phasianidae.